Molecule: long non-coding RNA, 1413 nt
Filed under: Gossypium barbadense (sea-island cotton)
Lineage: Eukaryota; Viridiplantae; Streptophyta; Magnoliopsida; Malvales; Malvaceae
Description: long non-coding RNA (GBAR_LNC021752)
Source: RNAcentral
UCCAACUAACCAUGUAUGUAUGUAUAUACGUGUAUAUAUAUAUAUAAUCAGCUUUGUGACCUGAUUGGGACUGACAUGGUGAAGGUAGCCAAGCAUCUAAAUCCCAAUGGCUCCUAAUACAGAGAUAUACUGUUGGUAAAGUCCCCACAAAGGACGAUCGCUUCAGCAACCAAGUACCAAUCAUCACGUGCACUGCACGUGAAACUCUGCAAAUCCAUUUCACGCCAAAUCAGUUGAGCCCCCCACCCACCCACCCACUUCUUGCCUUUUCACAUGAACUGCAAUGCAAUGUAUGCAUUUAUAUACCCAUAUAUAUCAAAUAUUUUUAUUUACUUAAUCCAACAAAACAAUUAUUUAAUUCCAAUUUCGAAAUUUAAUAAAAUUUCUGUAAUUUUUCCUACGUAUUGAAAUGCAUUGAUGGGAGGUGGAUUUUUGUGAAAAAGUAUAUGAAGUGUCCUUCGUUCGAAACUAAUGAUCCCUCAAUAGGUUGUUAUUGUCCUUGAAUCAAGUCAAUAUUUUAUCCCCUGACUUUGUCCAGAGCGCGAGUCGAAAGCGAGAUUCAUAGAGCAGAAACUCCUUAUCAGAUUAGGCUGUGCAUGAUGUACGAUCACCUACCAAGGAAAUGGUGGCAAUUAUCUAAUUAUAAUUUCGAAAAUUAAUAAAAAUAUUUGUAAUUUUUUACAAAUUGAAAUGCAUUGAUGGGAGGCCGACUCUUUUCGAAAAUUUUUUGAAGUGUUGUUCGUUCAAAGCUAAUAAAUCCAUUGGUAUUAUCCUUGAAUCGAGCUAGAGUUUUAUCUCCUUACCCUGUCGAGAGCUCGAGCCUAAAAUAGGGUUCAUAGAGUGACAACACCUUAUUGGAUCAGGCGGUACAUGAUGCACAAUCACCUAUCAAGAGAAAAUAGGCGUUGUGCAAUUGGUAGGGCUCACCAUUUCCUUGGUAGGUGAUCGUGCAUCAUGUACCGCCUGAUCCAAUACGGUGUUUCUGUUUUAUGAAACCCGCUUUUGAGUCGGGUUUUCGAUAGAGUCGGGAGAUAAAAUUUUGACUCGAUUUAAGGACAAUACCAACCCGUUGGGGGAUUUGUCAGCUUUCAAGAAACCAUGCUUCAAAGGUUUCUUUGGAAAAAAUCAGUCUCCCCUAGACAAAAUGUUUUCCCACUAGUAUGAUUGGGUUGGAUUCCCUUACUUUUCCAUCCUCCAUUAACAUUAUUUAACAGUAGGCGGCCAUGGCCGAAGGCUUAGGUAGUUUGGCAGAGAAAGGGGUAGGGCCAAUGGCAGGGACCAUCAUAAUAAAAGAUGGAAAAUUAGAAGUGUUUAGGGACCCUACAAAGAUGGAGAAUGGGGAGCUAAGGGAUUUGCUGCACUCCUUGCAAGAAGCAGUAUGUGAAACGUUGCUUUCAACCUUUUAUCCAAAAG